RNAcentral lists this ribosomal RNA (253 nucleotides) under uncultured bacterium. RNAcentral describes it as "partial 16S ribosomal RNA". It matches the Rfam family "Bacterial small subunit ribosomal RNA", at positions 524 to 776 of the family's 1533-position model. The record is from RNAcentral.
UACAGAGGUCUCAAGCGUUGUUCGGAUUCAUUGGGCGUAAAGGGUGCGUAGGCGGCGCGGUAAGUCGGGUGUGAAAUCUCGGAGCUUAACCCCGAAACUGCAUUCGAUACUGCCGUGCUUGAGGACUGGAGAGGAGACUGGAAUUUACGGUGUAGCGGUGAAAUGCGUAGAUAUCGUAAGGAAGACCAGUGGCGAAGGCGAAUCUCUGGACAGUUACUGACACUGAGGCACGAAGGCCAGGGGAGCAAACGGG